Molecule: ribosomal RNA, 426 nt
Filed under: uncultured prokaryote
Description: bacterial SSU rRNA
Rfam family: Bacterial small subunit ribosomal RNA
Source: RNAcentral
UGGGGAAUUUUCCGCAAUGGGGGCAACCCUGACGGAGCAACGCCGCGUGGGGGAGGAAUGUCUGUGGAUUGUAAACCCCUUUUCUCAGGGAAGAAGUUCUGACGGUACCUGAGGAAUCAGCAUCGGCUAACUCCGUGCCAGCAGCCGCGGUAAGACGGAGGUUGCAAGCGUUAUCCGGAAUUAUUGGGCGUAAAGCGUCCGUAGGCGGUUUUUCAAGUCUGCCGUUAAAGACCACAGCUUAACUGUGGGCCGGCGGUGGAAACUGUUGAACUGGAGUACGGUAGGGGUAGAGGGAAUUCCCAGUGUAGCGGUGAAAUGCGUAGAUAUUGGGAAGAACACCGGUGGCGAAGGCGACCACCUGGCUCGGCCCUGACGCUGAGGCGCGAAAGCGUGGGGAGCAAACAGGAUUAGAUACCCCCGUAGUCC